RNAcentral lists this ribosomal RNA (326 nucleotides) under uncultured Anaerolineaceae bacterium. Its description in RNAcentral is "bacterial SSU rRNA". It matches the Rfam family "Bacterial small subunit ribosomal RNA", at positions 1046 to 1382 of the family's 1533-position model. The record is from RNAcentral. Lineage: Bacteria; Bacillati; Chloroflexota; Anaerolineae; Anaerolineales; Anaerolineaceae.
UGGCUGUUCGGUCAGCUUCGUGUCGUGAGAUGUUCGGUUAAGUCCGCUAACGAGCGCAACCCUCACUGUGUGUUAUUAUGUGUCACACGGGACUGCCGGUUUUAAGCCGGAGGAAGGUGGGGAUGACGUCAAGUCAGCAUGGCCUUUAUAUCCUGGGCUACACACACGCUACAAUGGUCGGUACAAUAGGUUGCCAAGCCGCGAGGCGGAGCCAAUCCACAAAGCCGGCCUCAGUUCAGAUUGUAGGCUGCAACUCGCCUGCAUGAAGAUGGAGUUGCUAGUAACCGCAGGUCAGCAAUACUGCGGUGAAUACGUUCCCGGGUCUU